RNAcentral lists this ribosomal RNA (819 nucleotides) under Triticum aestivum (bread wheat). Its description in RNAcentral is "partial small subunit ribosomal RNA". The record is from RNAcentral. Lineage: Eukaryota; Viridiplantae; Streptophyta; Magnoliopsida; Poales; Poaceae.
AUGAAUAUUGCCCUCCUCUCCCGUUGGCUCUGGCGUAUUUCGCAAGGGCACGGUGGCCUCUGGUUAGACAUCAUCCGGAACAAGCAUCUGUGCGGACAACCCCUGGCCUUCUGUCAACGGUCCGGGGGCUCCCAGUUUUGGCAGUCGGUCAUCUAACUGCUCCCCGUCCUCCGCAUUGGAAGCUCCAUCGGUGUCGGAUUGGGUGCCGCGACGUUGUUCUGGUUUGACCGUUGGGCGGGAGACUCCUCCUUCGCGACUUGCUUCCCCGACCUCUUCUCCAUCGCCGUCGUCCCCCUGAUCUCAGUUGAGAGGGCCCUUAUUGACCUAGGGCGCCUUGCUUUCCGAAGGCCAUUUGGGCCUCCGGAAGCCGCCGCUUGGCAGGAGCUGCUUGAUUGCGUAGCUCUCCACGAGCCGAUAGUGGACGCUGGCCCGGAUGAGAUGCGGUGGCGUCUUGAGCCUUCGGGUCAAUUCUCCACCAAGUCCCUCUACCGGGCCAUUGCCCCCUCCUCCGCCCCUCCGCCCCUUGCGGCACUGUGGUCCAUCCGCCUACCACUGAAAAUCCGGAUAUUCAUGUGGCAAUGGAUUCACGGACGGCUUCCAUCUGGGGUGGAGGUACGCAAACGAAAUGCUGCCCGGGCUCCGGCAUCUGCCUGCUGUGUGGCACCCCAGAAGACUCGAAUCACAUCUUCUUUUCCUGCAUGUCUGCCCAAUUUGUGUGGAGCUGUUUUCGAGAGAGGUGUUUGGUGCCACACCAACUUUCCCGACCUCUACGCCGAGUUCCUGACCUCCCCCCCUCCCCCCGCCCUCUCGUCACAUUAG